This is a long non-coding RNA of Triticum aestivum (bread wheat), 1854 nucleotides long. RefSeq lists it as uncharacterized. The transcript is spliced from 4 exons. The record is from RefSeq and is a predicted model, not a curated record. Lineage: Eukaryota; Viridiplantae; Streptophyta; Magnoliopsida; Poales; Poaceae.
UCUUCUCUCUCCUCACAACUCAUGCACCACCCCGAUCCCCAGUUCCCUCACCUUCUCUCUCCCACUCAUGCCUAGCACCGCGCCGCCGACCCCCCCAAUCCCCCUCACCUUCUUCCGCCGUCGACGCCAGCCACCAGCUCCGUGUCGGUCGGCCACCCGCCACCGACCGGCCUCCCACCGCAUCUAGCGCCCCUGACAUCCCGCAGUGCCCCGCCCCACCAUGCUACGACUCGCUCGCAGACCAGCCGUCGCCCUCGACGCCAGCCAGCUCGGUCGCCUCCUUCCCCGCGCCGCACUAACCUCCACAGCACCGGCGAUGGAUCGAAGCAGCCUCGCCUCCCCCGUCAUCAGAUCCGAGAGGCCCCGACCACUACGCGCCGACCCUGCCAUGGACCCGGUGAGAUCCACUGUCACCUCUUCUCCAGCGCCCCGAUGUGCCGUGCCCCUGCCCUCCGGUGGUUCCCCGGCGACGGAUCCGGCUGGGUCUAGCCCCUAGCCACCUUCCUCCUGCCCUCCCGUGGUGCCCCCCUCCGCCGACCAGCGCGAGGUGCUCACCCGGUGUGGUAGUCGCCAAGGCGUCCCCUCCCACGGAUCCGGCGGCCAUGGCCUCCGCUGGCUCCUCUAAUGCUUCCUCUAUGCAGUUCGACAGAGCUCCGAUGGCUCUCCAUCCACGGAUUCGGCCGUCCCCUGACCACCGGACCACUGAUGGCGAGUUCCUCCGGUGAGAUCUUCUCUGACGUCCUGCACUCCGCAGCUGCUCCCGCGUGUGUGCAGUGCACGAAGAGUGCGCGUGCAGUUUCUUUGGCGUCGCAGUGCCGCUCUCUUCUUCAUCCCGAACAGUCCCCCCUGCGCCCUACCUCCAACUAUAGCAUGACGAGGGCGAUGGGCAUCCCCGCCGCCUCCAUGCGGCGACCUCCCUCCCCAAGCUCGUCGCGGUGGCGGAGGAGCGUUCUCAUGGCAAGGGGAGGUGCGUGCGCACGGGGCUCCACUGGCGGCAUCUGCAGUUCACUCCAUGCAAGAUGAGCUCGGAAAUGCUCGCGAUGCCGUUCAGUGCUUGAGCCCGUGCAGUACGGCGUGCGCCAUCUCUUCCCAUUGGUCGGUGGACCAUGGCCGUGCAGCUCGGAGAUGCUCGCCAUGUGGUUCUGGACUUGUCUGUGUGCAGUCGGGAGAGUGCCAUCUCCAUCUCUUCCCGUGUGGUCCGUCAACCAUGGUUGUGCAGCUCGCAGACGCUUGUCGUUCGGUUCAGGGCUCAUGCGUGUGCAGUCCUGCGAGGGACAUCUCUUCCCUUGCUCGUAAGGUUCUUUUGAUUCUGUUCUGCUAAUUGAGAUUUUGUUUUUUCGGUUGGUUUUGCUGGUGACAGGGGUUCUGGAGGUACCUUCUGAAGAAGAACCUUGAUGCCCGGUGGCUGCAAGGGUUCCAUUGCGUCGUGUUUGGGAUCGGCGAUUCAGGCUACAAGGGGUUGCUGCAAAGAAGCUCCGUACAAGGCUUUCACAGCUUGGUGCAAAAUCGAUCAUGGUGAUUGGAUUGGGAGAUGACCAAGACUCUUCAGGAUAUGAAAAAGCUCUAGGUCCUUGGCUGCUCUCUUUCUGGAAAUCACUGAAUCGAACAAAUCCGUCGCUUUUACCAAGAAUUCAGGCUCGUCCGCGUUGUGUCCGUGCACAUCAGCGCCUCUACCACAAACAUUCAGAAAAAAGAGGAUUCCCCUAGUGUGGAAAAUGGAUAGAUCUGGAAUCUACUCCUCACAAUGGUUAUAUGCUGCUUUCAACUUCUCUGUCUAGUGAGUUGUAUUUUGUGUGUGGAUGAUUGUAACAUGGAGACAGAAGAAAAGAAAGGGAUGCAAUUUUGUUGCACUCA